This 256-nucleotide ribosomal RNA is filed under the name uncultured Glomus. Its description in RNAcentral is "partial 18S ribosomal RNA". It matches the Rfam family "Eukaryotic small subunit ribosomal RNA", at positions 624 to 885 of the family's 1831-position model. The record is from RNAcentral. Lineage: Eukaryota; Fungi; Glomeromycota; Glomeromycetes; Glomerales; Glomeraceae.
AAGCUCGUAGUUGAAUUUCGAGACCGGUUUACUGGUCGUGCUUUUGUACGUACUGGUAUUAUUGGUUUCUCCUUUCUGACGAAUCAUAAUGCCAUUAAUUUGGUGUUUUGGGGAAUCAGGACUGUUACUUUGAAAAAAUUAGAGUGUUUAAAGCAGGCUCACGCUUGAAUACAUUAGCAUGGAAUAACGAAAUAGGACGUUUGAUUUUAUUUUGUUGGUUUCUAGGAUCGACGUAAUGAUUAAUGGGAUAGUUGGG